Neofelis nebulosa (Clouded leopard) is the source of this 5168-nucleotide long non-coding RNA. RefSeq lists it as uncharacterized. NCBI's taxonomy places the organism in Eukaryota, Metazoa, Chordata, Mammalia, Carnivora, Felidae. The transcript is spliced from 2 exons. The record is from RefSeq and is a predicted model, not a curated record.
CAGAUCCUGAGCUCUUCCUGUAAUUAUCUUCCUCAGGAGCCUCCGCAUGACUUUUCCAGACCGAGUUUUUGGAAGACGCUUCACAACCUGGCAAGGAAAGGGUGUGGAAUUCAAGUUCAGGUGGUGCGCAUACUCCCAGCAGUGUCCAGCUGCACUGGGGUAACAGCAAGGGAUGACACCCUUGCUGGGGGCUCAGGAAUGAAUGACUGAGAUGCCAGGCCUGCCCCAAAGAUAUGGAGACCUGUGGUCUCUGGUUAUAUCUUCACACCAUCUGGACCUAAAGCUGAAAUCAACCUGAAGGGCAGAAUCAACCACACAUCAGGGGUUUGCUGAAGCCUUCCCCCAGGUCAGGUCUGUCCAUACCUGGGUCUGCCUCACUGCUGAUACCUCUGUCUCCUGUUCACUACAUUAAUGAGGGCUCCCAGAUAGCAACAGAACCAAGUAUAUGCCAUGGCACCUCGUCUCCACCCACUGGCCUGGCCCAAAGUGGCUUUUUGCUGACAUAAGUGGUAAGAGCUACUUCAGACAAAAAUGUUGUCUUGCUUAGUAUUUGAAAAUUCAGCAUUUUCAAACAGCCAUGGCCCCUUUAAUGUCAACAGCAACAUGCUAAGAGCUAUGUUUGGGGCUUAUUUAACAGUGACCUAUCUUUUGAAAGGGGAGUUCAGGUCUCCCUAAAACUCUGGUCACCAAACAACUUGACUUCAUAUGACACCAGGGGAAGCUAGGGCCAUUCCCAUCUCAGAGGACCUCCUCUGAACCAAGGAAGACUGUGGGGGGAAAUGUUAACAAAGGAAGGAGUGGAAACCUAAUAAGGCUGGAGAAUGGGCCCCUUUCUUCCCCAGACCUGACUCUAACACAAACCCUCUCAGGCAGGGUCUGGCAAUGUCUCCUGCACUGACACCAGGAGAUAUGUUCAGAAUCUAACUUGGGCUGGGGAACACUGGUACUUUCCCCAUGUUUCUCUAUUUAAAAUCUCUUAUGAAUAAGGCAGAGACUUAGACAAAAUGCAACAAUGGAGGAAUUUAUCCCAAAUGCAAGAAUAAGGUAAGUCCAUGGCCAGAGAUCUAAGUGGAACAUAUAUAAGUAACAUGCCUUAUAAGAUAUAAGUAACAUGCCUGAUGGAGAAUGUAAAGCAACAAUCCUAAGGAUACUCACUGGGCUUGAGAAAGAAUAGAAAACAUCAGUGAGACCCUGACCACAGAGAUAACAGACUUAAAAAGGAAUCAACCAGAGAUGAAGAACUCAAUACUCAAGAUUGGAAACAGGCUUAAUGCAAUGAACAGCAGACUGGAAGAGGCAGAGGAAUGAAUUGGUGACUUAGAAGACAAAAUAAUGGAAAAUAAUGAAGCUGAACAAAGGAGUCCCAGAAGAAGAGGAGAGAGAAAAGGGGGCAGACAUUUUUUUUUGAAGAAAUGAAAGCUGAAAACUUUCCUAAUCUAGGGAAGGAAACAGACAUCGAGAUCAAGGAGGCACAGAGAACUCCCAUCAAAAUCAACAAAAGCAGGCCAACACCAAGACCUAUUAUAAUUAAAUUUGCAAAAUAUAGUGAGAAAGAAAAAUCCUAAAAGCAGCAAGAAAGAAAGUCUUCAACUUGUUUUUUUUUUUAAUUUUUUUUUAACGUUUAUUUAUUUUUUGAGACAGAGAGAGAGCAUGAAUGGGGGAGGGGCAGAGAGAGAGGGAGACACAGAAUCAGAAGCAGGCUCCAGGCUCUGAGCCAUCAGCCCAGAGCCCGAUGCGGGGCUCGAACCCAUGGACCGCGAGAUCGUGACCUGAGCUGAAGUCGGACGCUUAACCGACUGAGCCACCCAGGCACCCCAGAAAGUCCUCAACUUGUAAGGGAAGACCCAUAAAGCUAGCUACAGAUCUGUCCUCAGAAACUUGGCAGACCAUGAUAUAUUCAACAUGCUUAUUGGGAAAAAUCUGUAGCCAACAACACUCCAUCCAGCAAGGCUACCAUUCAGAGCAGAAAGAGAGAUAAAGAGUUUCUCAGACAGACAAAAACUAAAGAAGUCUGUGACCACUAAACCAGCCCUGCAAGAAAUAUUAAAAGGGGACUCUGAGUGGAAAAGAAGGACCAAAAGUGACAAAGACAAGAAAGGAUCAGAGAAAAUCUCCAGAUACAAUGACAAAACAAGUAAUAAAAUGGCAAUAAGUAUAUAUCUAUCAAAAAUUACUUUGAGGGGCGCCUGGGUGGCUCAGUCUGUUGAGCGUCCAACUUCAGCUCAGUUUCAUGAUCUCACAGUCUGUGAGUUCAAGCCCUGCGUUGGGCUCUGUGCUGAUAGUGACAGCUCAGAGCCUGGAGCCUGCUUAGGAUUCUGUGUCUCCCUCUCUCUCUGACCCUCCCCCAUUCAUGCUCUGUCUCUCUCUGUCUCAAAAAUAAAUAAACAUUUUUAAAAAAUUAAAAAAAUAAAAAAAUUACUUUGAAUUUAAAUAAACUAAACACUCCAAUCAAAAGACACAGAGUGACAGAAUGGAUAAAAAAAAAAAAAAAGACCCAUCUAUAUGCUGCUUACAAGAGACACAUUUUAGAUAUAAAGCCACCCUGCAUAUUAAAAGUGAGGGGAUGGAGAAAUAUUUACCAUGCAAAUGGAUGUCAAAAGAAAGCCAGAGUAGCAAUUCAUAUUUUGGACAAAACAGAUUUUAAAACAAAGACUAUAACAAGAGACAAGGAUACUAUAUAAUCAUAAAGGGGAUAAUCCAACAAGAAGAUAUAAUAAUUGUAAGUAUUUAUUCUCCCAAUAUUGGGAGCACCCCAAUAUAUAAGACAAUAACAAAAAUAAAGGAACUAAUUAAUAAUAAUACAAUAAUAAUAGGGGACUUUAACACCCCACUUACAUCAAUGGACAGAUCACCUAAACAGAAAAUCAACAAGGAAACAAUAGCUUUGAAUGACACACUGGACCAGAUGGACUUAACAGAUAUAUUUAGAACAUUUCAUCCUAAAGCAGCAGAAUACACAUUCUUUUUGAGUGCACAUUAGACAUUCUCCAGAAUAGAUCACAUAAUAAGUCAUAAAACAGGUCUCAGCAAGUACAAAUACACUAAGAUCAUACCAUGCAUGUUUUCUGAUCACAACACUAUGAAACUAGAGGUCAACCGCAAGAAAAAAAAUUGGAAAGACAACAAAUACAUGGAGAUUAAACAACAUGCUACUAAAGAAUGAAUUGGUCAACCAGGAAAUCAAAGAAGAAAUAAAAAAAUAUAUGGAAGCAAAUGAAGAUGAAAACACGUUGGUCUAAAACUUUUGUGAUGCAGCAAAAGUGGUUCUAAGAGGGAAGUAUGUAGCAAUACAGGUCUACCUCAAGAAGCGAGAAAAAUCUCAAAUAAACAACCUAACCUUACACUCAAAGGACCUAGAAAAAGAACAAUAAAUGAAGCCUAAAGCCAGCAUAAGAAGGGAAAUAAGAUUAGAGAAAAGAUAAAUGGUAUAGAAACUAAAACAAAAUAAAUAAUAAAACAGGUUCAUGAAACCAGGAGCUGACUCUUUGAAAGAAUUAACAAAAUUGAUAAACCCCUGGCCAGACUUCUCAAAAAGAAAAGAGAAAGGACCCAAAUAAAUAAAAUCACAAAUGAGAGAGGAAAGAUAACAACCAACACCACAGAAAUACAAACAGUACUAUAAGAGAACAUGAAAAAUUAUAUGUCAAAAAUCUGGAUAAUCUGGAAAAAAAUGCACAAAUUCUUAGAAACAUAAAAACUACCAAAACUGAAACAGGAAGAAAUAGAAAACUUGAACAGACCAAUAACCAUCAAAGAAAAUAAAUCAGUAAUCAAAAACUGCCAACAAACAAAAAGUCCAGUGCCAGAUGACUUCACAGAUGAAUUCUACUAAACAUUUAAGGAAGACUUAAUACCUAUUCUUCUCAAACCAUUCCAAAAAAUAAAAAAGGAAAGAAAACUUCCAAAUUCAUUCUAUGAGGCCAGCAUUAUCCUCUUACCAAAACCAGAUAAAGAUUCCACUAAAAAAGAGAACUACAGGCCAAUAUCCCUAAUGAACAUGGAUGCAAAAAUUCUCAAUAAAAUCCUAGUAAAUUGAAUCCAACAAUACAUUAAAAGAAAUACCAUGAUCAAGUGGGAUAUAUUCCUGGGCUGCAAGGGUGGUUCAAUACUUACAAAUCAAGCAAUGUGAUACACCAUAUUAAUAAAAGAAAAGAUAAAAACCAUAUGAUCAUUUCAAUAGAUCCAGAAAAAACAUCUGACAAAAUACAGCAUCUAUUCGUGAUAAAAAACCAUCAACAAAGUAGGUUGAGAGGGAACACACAUCAACAUAAUAAAGGUCAUAUAUGAAAAGCUAACAUCAUCCUCAAAGAGGAAAAACUCUCAGUUUUUCCUCUAUGGUCAAGAACAUGUCCACUCUCACUGCAGUUAAUUAACAUAGUACUGGAAAUCCUAGCCACAGCAAGUAGACACCAAAAAGAAAUAAAAGGCAUCUAAAUCAGCAAGGAAAAAAGUAAAAUGUUCACUAUCUACAGACAACAUGAUACUCUAUAUAGAAAACCUGAAAUACUCCACCAAAACAUUGCUAGAACUGAUACACAAAUUCAGUAAAGUCAUGGGACACAAAAUCAACAUACAGAAAUCUGUUGCAUUUCUUUUUUUUUAAGUCUUUAUGUAUUUAUUUUGAGAGAGAGAGAGAGAGAAAGAGCACCAGGGAGGGGCAGAAAGGAGGGAGAGAGAAUUCCAAGCAGUCUCUGCACUGUCAGCGUGAAGCCCAACAUGGGGCUCAAACCCAUGAACUGUGAGAUCAUGAUCUGAACUGAAAUCAAGAGUUGGACGCUUAAACAACUGAGCCACCCAGGUGCCCCUGUUAAAUUUCUUUAAACCAAUAAUGAAGCAGCAGAAAGGGAAACUAAGGAAUCAAUCCCAUUUACAAUUGCACCCAAAACCAUAAGAUACAGAGGAAUAAUCCUGACCAAAAAGGUGAAAAACCUGUAUUCUGAAAACUAUAAAACACUGAUGAAAGAAACUGAAGAUGACAUCAAGAAAUAGAAAGACAUUCCAUGCUCAUGAGUUGGAAGAACAAAUACUGUUGAAAUGUCUAUACUACCCAAAGCAAUCUGCACAUUUAAUGCAGUCCCUAUCAAAAUACCAACAGGAUUUUUUCACAAGAACUAGAACAAACAAUCCUAAAAUUUGUAUGGAACCACAAAAGGCCCUGAAGAGCCAAA